Molecule: ribosomal RNA, 442 nt
Filed under: uncultured bacterium
Lineage: Bacteria
Description: partial 16S ribosomal RNA
Rfam family: Bacterial small subunit ribosomal RNA
Source: RNAcentral
CCUACGGGAGGCAGCAGUGGGGAAUAUUGGGCAAUGGGCGCAAGCCUGACCCAGCAACGCCGCGUGAAGGAAGAAGGCUUUCGGGUUGUAAACUUCUUUUAAGAGGGAAGAGCAGAAGACGGUACCUCUUGAAUAAGCCACGGCUAACUACGUGCCAGCAGCCGCGGUAAUACGUAGGUGGCAAGCGUUGUCCGGAUUUACUGGGUGGAAAGGGCGUGCAGCCGGGAAGACAAGUCAGAUGUGAAAUCCCGCGGCUCAACCGCGGAACUGCAUUUGAAACUGUUUUUCUUGAGUACCGGAGAGGUCAUCGGAAUUCCUUGUGAAGCGGUGAAAUGCGUAGAUAUAAGGAAGAACACCAGUGGCGAAGGCGGAUGACUGGACGGCAACUGACGGUGUGGCGCGAAAGCGUGGGGAGCAAACAGGAUUAGAUACCCCUGUAGUC